GAUGAACGCUGGCGGCGUGCCUAAUACAUGCAAGUCGAGCGAACGGACGAGAAGCUUGCUUCUCUGAUGUUAGCGGCGGACGGGUGAGUAACACGUGGAUAACCUACCUAUAAGACUGGGAUAACUUCGGGAAACCGUAGCUAAUACCAGAUAAUAUUUUGAACCGCAUGGUUCAAAAGUGAAAGACGGUCUUGCUGUCACUUAUAGAUGGAUCCGCGCUGCAUUAGCUAGUUGGUAAGGUAACGGCUUACCAAGGCAACGAUGCAUAGCCGACCUGAGAGGGUGAUCGGCCACACUGGAACCGAGACACGGUCCAGACUCCUACGGGAGGCAGCAGUAGGGAAUCUUCCGCAAUGGGCGAAAGCCUGACGGAGCAACGCCGCGUGAGUGAUGAAGGUCUUCGGAUCGUAAAACUCUGUUAUUAGGGAAGAACAUAUGUGUAAGUAACUGUGCACAUCUUGACGGUACCUAAUCAGAAAGCCACGGCUAACUACGUG
Molecule: ribosomal RNA, 497 nt
Filed under: uncultured bacterium
Lineage: Bacteria
Description: partial 16S ribosomal RNA
Rfam family: Bacterial small subunit ribosomal RNA
Source: RNAcentral